UAGGAGGAAUCUGACACAAUGUUAAGC
RNAcentral lists this non-coding RNA (27 nucleotides) under Mus musculus (house mouse). The record is from RNAcentral. Lineage: Eukaryota; Metazoa; Chordata; Mammalia; Rodentia; Muridae.